GAUGAACGCUGGCGGCGUGCCUAAUACAUGCAAGUCGAGCGAACGGACGAGAAGCUUGCUUCUCUGAUGUUAGCGGCGGACGGGUGAGUAACACGUGGAUAACCUACCUAUAAGACUGGGAUAACUUCGGGAAACCGGAGCUAAUACCGGAUGAUAUUUUGAACCGCAUGGUUCAAAAGUGAAAGACGGUCUUGCUGUCACUUAUAGAUGGAUCCGCGCUGCAUUAGCUAGUUGGUAAGGUAACGGCUUACCAAGGCAACGAUGCAUAGCCGACCUGAGAGUGUGAGCGGCCACACUGGAACUGAGACACGGUCCAGACUCCUACGGGAGGCAGCAGUAGGGAAUCUUCCGCAAUGGACGAAAGCCUGACGGAGCAACGCCGCGUGAGUGAUGAAGGUCUUCGGAUCGUAGAACUCUGUUAUUAGGGAAGAACAUAUGUGUAAGUAACUGUGCACAUCUUGACGGUACCUAAUCAGAAAGCCACGGCUAACUACGUG
This 497-nucleotide ribosomal RNA is filed under the name uncultured bacterium. Its description in RNAcentral is "partial 16S ribosomal RNA". It matches the Rfam family "Bacterial small subunit ribosomal RNA", at positions 28 to 507 of the family's 1533-position model. The record is from RNAcentral.